AAAGGCUCAUUAAAUCAGUUAUGGUUCCUUAGAUUGUACCCACAUUUACUUGGAUAACUGUGGUAAUUCUAGAGCUAAUACAUGCAAACAGAGCUCCAACCAGAGAUGGAAGGAGUGCUUUUAUUAGAUCAAAACCAAUCGGCGGCAAUUAUGUUUCGGCAUUAUUGUUCGUCGCAAUAUUUGGUGACUCUGAAUAACUUUUGGCUGAUCGCACGGUCUUGCACCGGCGACGCAUCUUUCAAAUGUCUGCUUUAUCAACUGUCGAUGGUAGGUUCUGCGCCUACCAUGGUUGUAACGGGUAACGGGGAAUCAGGGUUCGAUUCCGGAGAGGGAGCCUGAGAAACGGCUACCACAUCCAAGGAAGGCAGCAGGCGCGCAAAUUACCCACUCCCGGCACGGGGAGGUAGUGACGAAAAAUAACGAUACGGGACUCAUCCGAGGCCCCGUAAUCGGAAUGAGUACACUUUAAAUCCUUUAACAAAAAUCAAUCGGAGGGAAAGUCUGGUGCCAGCAGCCGCGGUAAUUCCAGCUCCGAUAGCGUAUAUUAAAGUUGUUGCGGUUAAAAAGCUCGUAGUUGAAUCUGUGUCCCGCGCUGUCGGUUCACCGCCCGCGGUGUUUAACUGGCAUGCUCGUGGGACGUCCUGCCGGUGGAUGUUUGGUCCUUGUAUUCUCCCCCAUUAUAUCAUGGGUGUUAGCGUGUGCACUGUUAAAGGUGUUACUGUUACAUCAUUAUGUAUAAUGUGUGGGGUUACUUGGUUAACCAGCAUCCGACUUAUAAAAUCCUGUCGCGGUGCUCUUAAUUGAGUGUCGAGGUGGGCCGGCACAUUUACUUUGAACAAAUUAGAGUGCUCAAAGCAGGCUAAAAUUUUGCCUGAAUAUUGGUGCAUGGAAUAAUGGAAAAGGACCUCGGUUCUAUUUUGUUGGUUUUCGGAACACCGAGGUAAUGAUUAAUAGGGACAGAUGGGGGCAUUCGUAUUGCGACGUUAGAGGUGAAAUUCUUGGAUCGUCGCAGGACGGACAGAAGCGAAAGCAUUUGCCAAAAAUGUUUUCAUUAAUCAAGAACGAAAGUCAGAGGCCCGAAGGCGAUCAGAUACCGCCCUAGUUCUGACCAUAAACGAUGCCAGCUAGCGAUCCGCCGACGUUCCUCCGAUGACUCGGCGGGCAGCUUCCGGGAAACCAAAGCUUUUGGGUUCCGGGGGAAGUAUGGUUGCAAAGCUGAAACUUAAAGGAAUUGACGGAAGGGCACCACCAGGAGUGGAGCCUGCGGCUUAAUUUGACUCAACACGGGAAAUCUCACCAGGCCCGGACACCGGAAGGAUUGACAGAUUGAGAGCUCUUUCUUGAUUCGGUGGGUGGUGGUGCAUGGCCGUUCAUAGUUGGUGGAGCGAUUUGUCUGGUUAAUUCCGUUAACGAACGAGACUCUAGCCUGCUAACUAGGCGUUAAUUACCGGUAUCCUGAAGGCUCGUGUCUUCCAUUACCUGGCGUAUUUUUGUUUCUAUGUAUUUUCACUUCUGUGUUAUGCAUGGUACAUAAUAUUGUGCGGGGUGGAUGUUCACGGUUUUUACUACCGGCGUACAUAUAAAUCUUCUUAGAGGGACAGGCAGCUUCUAGCUGCACGAGAUUGAGCGAUAACAGGUCUGUGAUGCCCUUAGAUGUUCUGGGCCGCACGCGCGCUACACUGAAGGAAUCAGCGUGUCUUCCCUGGCCGAGCGGCCCGGGUAACCCGCUGAACCUCCUUCGUGCUAGGGAUUGGGGCUUGAAAUUUUUCCCCAUGAACGAGGAAUUCCCAGUAAGCGCGAGUCAUAAGCUCGCGUUGAUUACGUCCCUGCCCUUUGUACACACCGCCCGUCGCUACUACCGAUUGAAUGAUUUAGUGAGGUCUUCAGACUGGUACGCGGCUUUAUCCUUA
RNAcentral lists this ribosomal RNA (1910 nucleotides) under Paratrechodes macleayi. RNAcentral describes it as "SSU rRNA". It matches the Rfam family "Eukaryotic small subunit ribosomal RNA", at positions 92 to 1736 of the family's 1831-position model. Lineage: Eukaryota; Metazoa; Arthropoda; Insecta; Coleoptera; Carabidae. The record is from RNAcentral.